AGAGUUUGAUCCUGGCUCAGAACGAACGCUGGCGGCGCGCCUAACACACGCAAGUCGAGCGCCCCUUUCGGGGGGAGCGGCGCGCGGGUGAGUAACGCGUGGGAACCUGCCCUGGGGUUCGGGACAACGGCUGGAAACGGCCGCUGACACCGGAUACGGCCUUCAGCAAUGGAGGCGAAAGUUCACGCCCUGGGAUGGGCCCGCGUCCGAUUAGCUAGUUGGUGGGGUAACGGCCCACCAAGGCUGCGAUCGGUAGCCGGUCUGAGAGGAUGAUCGGCCACACUGGGACUGAGACACGGCCCAGACUCCUACGGGAGGCAGCAGUGGGGAAUCUUGGACAAUGGGGGCAACCCUGAUCCAGCGACGCCGCGUGGGUGACGAAGGCCUUCGGGUUGUAAAGCCCUUUUUCCGGGGACGAUGAUGACGGUACCCGGGGAAUACCACCGGCUAACUCCGUGCCAGCAGCCGCGGUAAGACGGAGGGUGCUAGCGUUGCUCGGAAUCACUGGGCGUAAAGCGCACGUAGGCGGAUUGCUAAGUCAGGGGUGAAAUCCUGGAGCUCAACUCCAGAACUGCCUUUGAUACUGGCGACCUUGAGUCCGGGAGAGGUGAGUGGAACUGCGAGUGUAGAGGUGAAAUUCGUAGAUAUUCGCAAGAACACCAGUGGCGAAGGCGGCUCACUGGCCCGGUACUGACGCUGAGGUGCGAAAGCGUGGGGAGUAAACAGGAUUAGAUACCCUGGUAGUCCACGCCGUAAACGAUGGAUGCUAGCCGUUGGUGGGUUUACCCUUCAGUGGCGCAGCUAACGCAUUAAGCAUCCCGCCUGGGGAGUACGGUCGCAAGAUUAAAACUCAAAGGAAUUGACGG
This 866-nucleotide ribosomal RNA is filed under the name uncultured bacterium. RNAcentral describes it as "bacterial SSU rRNA". It matches the Rfam family "Bacterial small subunit ribosomal RNA", at positions 8 to 916 of the family's 1533-position model. The record is from RNAcentral.